Molecule: long non-coding RNA, 334 nt
Filed under: Ixodes scapularis (black-legged tick)
Lineage: Eukaryota; Metazoa; Arthropoda; Arachnida; Ixodida; Ixodidae
Description: uncharacterized LOC115317328, transcript variant X1
Source: RNAcentral
AACUUCACAGUUCGUUCAUCAAGGGAUAUGUGUGGGUCUCCAUCGACAGGACAAGUUGCCUGCUUCUUGAAGACCUUCUAUGAUGAUGCGCAACAUUGGCAAUUAUCGUACGUGUGAUCAUGGAUGCCUCCAUCUCCCUGCAAAGUGUGUGUCAUCAGACAUUGCAGCACAUCAUACCUACGACAGACGGUGGUGCGUGCCUUGUGCUGAAGACCUUCCAAGGUGGCCUGGGCAGUUACCGCACUUAAGAGCAUAGGUACUUCCAUUACUCUGCCAAGGUAACCUCUAGAGUUGGGGAAGUAUCGCCUCAUAUGCAAUGCCAAAACUUCCCUUU